AGAUUGAACGCUGGCGGCAGGCCUAACACAUGCAAGUCGAGCGGCAGCACAGGUACUUGUACCUGGUGGCGAGCGGCGGACGGGUGAGUAAUGCCUAGGAAUCUGCCUGGUAGUGGGGGAUAACGCUCGGAAACGGACGCUAAUACCGCAUACGUCCUACGGGAGAAAGCAGGGGACCUUCGGGCCUUGCGCUAUCAGAUGAGCCUAGGUCGGAUUAGCUAGUUGGUGAGGUAAUGGCUCACCAAGGCGACGAUCCGUAACUGG
Molecule: ribosomal RNA, 264 nt
Filed under: uncultured soil bacterium
Lineage: Bacteria
Description: partial 16S ribosomal RNA
Rfam family: Bacterial small subunit ribosomal RNA
Source: RNAcentral